GAGCUGUGAUAUUAAAUUGCACUGCUGUGAACGAUGGGUCGUCACACUCAUCUGAUUAUUCAGAUGUUAAAAUUGUGCAUCUGAGCUC
This is a small nucleolar RNA of Solanum dulcamara, 88 nucleotides long. RefSeq annotates it as small nucleolar RNA snoR114. Lineage: Eukaryota; Viridiplantae; Streptophyta; Magnoliopsida; Solanales; Solanaceae. The record is from RefSeq and is a predicted model, not a curated record. The transcript has a single exon.